AACACAUGCAAGUCGAGCGGAUGACGGGAGCUUGCUCCUUGAUUCAGCGGCGGACGGGUGAGUAAUGCCUAGGAAUCUGCCUGGUAGUGGGGGACAACGUUUCGAAAGGAACGCUAAUACCGCAUACGUCCUACGGGAGAAAGCAGGGGACCUUCGGGCCUUGCGCUAUCAGAUGAGCCUAGGUCGGAUUAGCUAGUUGGUGGGGUAAUGGCUCACCAAGGCGACGAUCCGUAACUGGUCUGAGAGGAUGAUCAGUCACACUGGAACUGAGACACGGUCCAGACUCCUACGGGAGGCAGCAGUGGGGAAUAUUGGACAAUGGGCGAAAGCCUGAUCCAGCCAUGCCGCGUGUGUGAAGAAGGUCUUCGGAUUGUAAAGCACUUUAAGUUGGGAGGAAGGGCAGUAAGUUAAUACCUUGCUGUUUUGACGUUACCGACAGAAUAAGCACCGGCUAACUCUGUGCCAGCAGCCGCGGUAAUACAGAGGGUGCAAGCGUUAAUCGGAAUUACUGGGCGUAAAGCGCGCGUAGGUGGUUUGUUAAGUUGGAUGUGAAAGCCCCGGGCUCAACCUGGGAACUGCAUCCAAAACUGGCAAGCUAGAGUACGGUAGAGGGUGGUGGAAUUUCCUGUGUAGCGGUGAAAUGCGUAGAUAUAGGAAGGAACACCAGUGGCGAAGGC
RNAcentral lists this ribosomal RNA (677 nucleotides) under uncultured Pseudomonadota bacterium. RNAcentral's name for it is "bacterial SSU rRNA". It matches the Rfam family "Bacterial small subunit ribosomal RNA", at positions 50 to 722 of the family's 1533-position model. The record is from RNAcentral. Lineage: Bacteria; Pseudomonadati; Pseudomonadota.